AUCGAGACUAGAGUCACAUCCUGACAUGGCACUUGUCCUGGUGUGCUAGAGUUCUCGUAGAAAAUCUGCUGGUCUUGAUUCACUGGUAGGGGCUUUCAGUGACCCCAUUAGUGCUCAGAUCAGAAACAUAA
Small nucleolar RNA from Rattus norvegicus (Norway rat), 131 nucleotides. Ensembl annotates it as small nucleolar RNA SNORA3/SNORA45 family. Lineage: Eukaryota; Metazoa; Chordata; Mammalia; Rodentia; Muridae. The record is from Ensembl.